UCCUAAUACAUGGAAAACGAGCGAAUCAAUGGGAGCUUGCUCCCAGAGAUUAGCGUUUUGCCGGGUGAGUAACACGUGGGCAACCUGCCUAUAAGACUGGGAUAACUUCGGGAAACCGGAACUAAUACCGGAUAAUUCUUUUCCUCUCAUGAGGAAAAGCUGAAAGACGGUUUACGCUGUCACUUAUAGAUGGGCCCGCGGCGCAUUAGCUAGUUGGUGAGGUAACGGCUCACCAAGGCGACGAUGCGUAGCCGACCUGAGAGGGUGAUCGGCCACACUGGGACUGAGACACGGCCCAG
RNAcentral lists this unclassified non-coding RNA (299 nucleotides) under uncultured bacterium. RNAcentral describes it as "partial contains 16S ribosomal RNA and 16S-23S ribosomal RNA intergenic spacer region". It matches the Rfam family "Bacterial small subunit ribosomal RNA", at positions 47 to 334 of the family's 1533-position model. The record is from RNAcentral.